This 331-nucleotide long non-coding RNA is filed under the name Nicotiana tabacum (common tobacco). RNAcentral's name for it is "long non-coding RNA (NTAB_LNC001228)". Lineage: Eukaryota; Viridiplantae; Streptophyta; Magnoliopsida; Solanales; Solanaceae. The record is from RNAcentral.
CUAUUACUAUAAAUCACCACCACCUCCAUCGCCAUCACCUCCACCUCCAUAUUACUACAAGUCUCCACCACCGCCAUCUCCAUCACCGCCACCACCCUAUUACUACAAGUCUCCUCUUUCACCGUCGCCUUCUCCUCCACCUCCAUACUAUUACCACUCUCCACCCCCUCCAGUAAAGUCUCCUCCUCCUGCCUAUUACUACAGCUCACCUCCUCCACCCGUGAAAUCACCACCUCCACCAGUAUACAUUUAUGCUUCUCCGCCACCUCCAAUCCACUACUAAGUAUUUCUAAGAGCUCAGCCAUUCUCCACAAUCAAUCAAGUGAGUUGC